RNAcentral lists this ribosomal RNA (497 nucleotides) under uncultured bacterium. RNAcentral describes it as "partial 16S ribosomal RNA". It matches the Rfam family "Bacterial small subunit ribosomal RNA", at positions 28 to 507 of the family's 1533-position model. The record is from RNAcentral.
GAUGAACGCUGGCGGCGUGCCUAAUACAUGCAAGUCGAGCGAACAGACGAGGAGCUUUCUCCUCUGACGUUAUCGGCGGACGGGUGAGUAACACGUGGAUAACCUACCUCUCAGACUGGGAUAACUUCGGGAAACCGGAGCUAAUACCGGAUAAUAUAUUGAACCGCAUGGUUCAAUAGUGAAAGACGGUUUUGCUGUCACUUAUAGAUGGAUCCGCGCCGCAUUAGCUAGUUGGUAAGGUAACGGCUUACCAAGGCAACGAUGCGUAGCCGACCUGAGAGGGAGAUCGGCCACACUGGAACUGAGACACGGUCGAGACUCCGACGGGAGGCAGCAGUAGGGAAUCGUCCGCAAGGGGCGAAAGCCGGACGGAGCAACACCGCGUGAGUGAUGAAGGUCUACGGAUCGUAAAACGCUGUUAUUAGGGAAGAACAAAUGUGUAAGUAACUAUGCACGUCUUGACGGUACCUAAUCAGAAAGCCACGGCUAACUACGUG